GACAGAGGGUGCAAACGUUGUUCGGAAUUACUGGGCGUAAAGCGCGUGUAGGCGGCAGGGCAAGUCGGAUGUGAAAGCCCACGGCUCAACCGUGGAAGUGCAUCCGAAACUGCAUGGCUCGAGUCUCGGAGAGGAAGGUGGAAUGCUUGGUGUAGAGGUGAAAUGCGUAGAGAUCAGGAAGAACAUCGGUGGCGAAGGCGCUCUGCUGGACCAUAACUGACACUCAGGGACGAAAGCUAGGGGAGCGAAUGGG
RNAcentral lists this ribosomal RNA (253 nucleotides) under uncultured bacterium. RNAcentral's name for it is "partial 16S ribosomal RNA". It matches the Rfam family "Bacterial small subunit ribosomal RNA", at positions 524 to 776 of the family's 1533-position model. The record is from RNAcentral.